This 253-nucleotide ribosomal RNA is filed under the name uncultured bacterium. RNAcentral's name for it is "partial 16S ribosomal RNA". It matches the Rfam family "Bacterial small subunit ribosomal RNA", at positions 524 to 776 of the family's 1533-position model. The record is from RNAcentral.
UACGUAGGGGGCAAGCGUUGUCCGGAAUCAUUGGGCGUAAAGAGCGUGUAGGCGGCCCGGUAAGUCCGCUGUGAAAGUCCAGGGCUCAACCCUGGGAUGCCGGUGGAUACUGUCGGGCUCGAGUCCGGAAGAGGAGUGUGGAAUUUACGGUGUAGCAGUGAAAUGCGUAGAUAUCGUAAGGAAGACCAGUGGCGAAGGCGAAUCUCUGGACAGUUACUGACACUGAGGCACGAAGGCCAGGGGAGCAAACGGG